GGCAAUCUAAUACAAAUAGUAUAUGUUGUUGUAAUACGUGAAGUCUUGCUUGAGAAUGCUCCGGACACCUGGUUGUGGAAGGUAGAAUGGAAAUUGCAACAAUAAAAUCCUAACUCUAAUAGAAUACUAACUAAACUCUAAUUAGACCAUAACAAUGCUAAGCAAGCUUUAAUCAAAUUCAAAGAAACCUCAAAGAAAUUACAAAUAAAUAAUAUGAAAUAUUAAAGAAAUAUUAGAAUGACCAUAAAUAUAUUUCAAAUACAUCUCAAUUCAAUCUUAAUUUAAUCCUAGUUAAAAUCCUAUUGGACUUCAUUCAAACUUUAGGCCAAAAAUUAACUAAAUCUUAAAUCCUAAACAAAUCCUAAGAAAAUCCUAAACCCUAAAUCAAAUCCUAACCAAACCCUAAUCAAACCCUAAAUCCUAAAUCAAACCCUAAAUCAAACCCUAAAUCCUAAACCAAAUUCUAAAUCUUAAACCAAACCCUAAUCAAACCCUAACCAAACCCUAAUCCUAAAUCAAACCUUAACCAAAUCCUAACUCUAAAUCCUAAAUCCUAAACCAAAUCCUAACCAAAUUCUAAUUCUAAAUCAAAUCCUAACCAAAUCCUAAACCCUUAAUCAAAUCUUAAUCAAGCCC
Molecule: long non-coding RNA, 636 nt
Filed under: Physcomitrium patens
Lineage: Eukaryota; Viridiplantae; Streptophyta; Bryopsida; Funariales; Funariaceae
Description: long non-coding RNA (PPAT_LNC012880)
Source: RNAcentral